This 92-nucleotide long non-coding RNA is filed under the name Serinus canaria (Common canary). RNAcentral describes it as "lncRNA (ENSSCAG00000006161.1)". Lineage: Eukaryota; Metazoa; Chordata; Aves; Passeriformes; Fringillidae. The record is from RNAcentral.
AAGCUUGCCACAGGAAGAAAAGGUUGUCCUGGCUGUUCAUAUUCCUCCACAUGGGCUCUGAACAUCAUUUCUGGGGCCAAACACACCCAAGA